AACGUAGGUGGCAAGCGUUAUCCGGAUUUACUGGGCGUAAAGCGUGUGCAGGCUGCGCGUCAAGUGGUGUAUGAAAUCGCUCGGCUCAACCGGGCGCGGUUAUGCCAGACUGGCGUGCUAGAGACUGAGAGAGGGUGGUGGAAUUCCGGGUGUAGUGGUGAAAUGCGUAGAGAUCCGGAGGAACCCCAGAGGCGAAGGCGGCCACCUGGCUCAGUUCUGACGCUCAGACACGACAGCAUGGGGAGCGAACGGG
RNAcentral lists this ribosomal RNA (253 nucleotides) under uncultured bacterium. RNAcentral's name for it is "partial 16S ribosomal RNA". It matches the Rfam family "Bacterial small subunit ribosomal RNA", at positions 524 to 776 of the family's 1533-position model. The record is from RNAcentral.